GUUUAAGGUUUUUUGCAUUAGGGUUAAAGUCACUGUCCAAAACCUUUGUAAGAACUCUUUUCCAACCUUUUGGAGUUGGUUACACCAACAAAAAUGUAAAAUGAAAAAAAUAUAUAUAUGGGGUGUUCGGGCUUCCUAAAGGUAAUACCCGGGUAUUAGAUUUUAAGGCUAGGGUAAGGUUUAAGUUUUAUGGCGUUAGGGUUAAAAUCACUGUCCAAAACAUUUGUAGGAACUCUUUUCCAACUGUUACGGCUGUGUGUUUGUUUUGCAUGUGUUUUCCUCUUUUGUCUCUCCAUAGCUGCCCAGGUGAAAUCACUUGAGUGACAAUCAGACUCACCUGGUGCUGGGAGUCUAAAAGCCCAGAGCUGCCUGCAGUCUGGAGAGGCAUUUGGUGGGGAACUGCUGCCCUGCUGCCUCUCAUUUGUGUUGUGGGUGCUUUGUGUUUAGUUUGCAAUUUUGUUGUUUUUUCACAAUAAAUCACGUGUUAAACUUUUGAAGGUGUUUUGGUUAAUUUGAUGGGUAAAAAGUUGAGGAUUGUUGUUAGCCCCAUAGGGCCGCCUAAGGGUGGGGUGUAACACCAACCUUUUGGAGUUGGUUACACCAACAAAAAUGUAAAAUGAAAAAAAAAUAUUAGGGGUGUUCGGGCUUCCUGAAGGUAAUACCCGGGUAUUAGGUUAUGGGGCUAUGGUAAGGUUUAAUGUUUUUGGCAUUAGGGUUAAAAUCACUGUCCAAAACCUUUGUAGGAACUCUUUUCCAACCUUUUGGAGUUAGUUAGACCAAAAAAAGAAUGAAAAAUGAAAAAAAAAUAUUUGGGGUUUCCGGGCUUCCUAAAAGUAAUACCCGGGUAUUAGAUUUUAAGGCAAGGGUAAGGUUUAAGUUUUAUGGCGUUAGGGUUGAAAUCACUGUCCAAAACCUUUGUAGGAACUCUUUUCCAACCUUUUGGAGUUAGUUAGACCAAAAAAUAUGAAAAAGGAAAAAAAAAUAUUUGGGGUUUUCGGGCUUCCUGAAGGUAAUACCCGGGUAUUAGGUUUUGGGGCUAGGGUAUGGUUUAAGUUUUCUGGCGUUAGGGUUAAAGUCACUGUCCAAAACCUUUGUAAGAACGCUUUUCCAACCUUUUGGAGUUGGUUACACCAACAAAAAUGUAAAAUGAAAAAAAAAAUAUAUGGGGUGUUCGGGCUUCCUAAAAGUAAUACCCGGGUAUUAGAUUUUAAGGCAAGGGUAAGGUUUAAGUUUUAUGGCGUUAGGGUUGAAAUCACUGUCCAAAACCUUUGUAGGAACUCUUUUCCAACCUUUUGGAGUUAGUUAGACCAAAAAAUAUGAAAAAGGAAAAAAAAAUAUUUGGGGUUUUCGGGCUUCCUGAAGGUAAUACCCGGGUAUUAGGUUUUGGGGCUAGGGUAUGGUUUAAGUUUUCUGGCGUUAGGGUUAAAAUCACUGUCCAAAACCUUUGUAGGAACUCUUUUCAAACCUUUUGGAGUUGGUUACACCAACAAAAAUGAAAAAUGAAAAAAAAAUAUUUGGGGUGUUCAGGCUUCCUAAAAGUAAUACCCCGGUAUUAGGUUUUGGGGCUAUGGUAAGGUUUAAGGUUUUUGGCGUUAGGGUUAAAAUCACUGUCCAAAACCUUUGUAGGAACUCUUUUCCAACCUUUUGGAGUUAGCUAGACCAAAAAAAAAAAAAAGAAAAAUGAAAAAAAAAAUGUUUGGGGUGUGAAGGCUUCCUUAAGUUAAUACCCGGGUGUUAGGUUCGGGAAUAGGGUAAGGUUGAAGGUUUUUGGCGUUAGGGUUAAAAUCACUGUCCAAAACCUUUGUAGGAACUCUUUUCCAACCUUUUGGAGUUAGUUAGACCAAAAAAAAAAAGAAAAAUGAAAAAAAAAAUAUUUGGGGUGUUCAGGCUUCCUAAAAGUAAUACCCGGGUAUUAGGUUAUGGGGCUAUGGUAAGGUUUAAGGUUUAUGGCAUUAGGGUUAAAAUCACUGUCCAAAACCUUUGUAGGAACUCUUUCCCAACCUUUUGGAGUUAGUUAGACCAAAAAAAAAAGAAAAAUGAAAAAAAAAUGUUUGGGGUUUUUGUGCUUCCUGAAUGUAAUACCCGGGUAUUAGAUUUUAAGGCCAGGGAAAGGUUUAAGUUUUAUGGCGUUAGGGUUAAAAUCACUGUCCAAAACCUUUGUAGGAACUCUUUUCGAACCUUUUGGAGUUAGUGAGACCAAAAAAAAAAUGAAAAAUGAAAAAAAAAUAUUUGGGGUGUUCGGGCUUCCUGAAGGUAAUACCCGGGUAUUAGGUUAUGGGGCUAUGGUAAGGUUUAAGGUUUUUGGCAUUAGGUUUAAAAUCACUGUCCAAAACCUUUGUAGGAACUCUUUCCAACCUUUUGGAGUUAGUUAGACCAAAAAAAGAAUGAAAAAUGAAAAAAAAAUAUUUGGGGUUUCCGGGCUUCCUUAAUGUAAUACCCGGGUAUUAGAUUUUAAGGCCAGGGUAAGGUUUAAGUUUUUUGGCAUUAGGGUUAAAAUUACUGUCCAAAACCUUUGUAGGAACUCUUUUCCAACCUUUUGGAGUUAGUUAGACCAAAAAAAAAAGAAAAAUGAAAAAAAAAUAUUUGGGGUGUUCAGGCUUCCUAAAAGUAAUACCCGGGUAUUAGGUUAUGGGGCUAUGGUAAGGUUUAAGGUUUUUGGCAUUAGGGUUAAAGUCACUGUCCAAAACCUUUGUAAGAACUCUUUUCCAACCUUUUGGAGUUGGUUACACCAACAAAAAUGUAAAAUGAAAAAAAAAAUAUAUGGGGUGUUCGGGCUUCCUAAAAGUAAUACCCGGGUAUUAGAUUUUAAGGCAAGGGUAAGGUUUAAGUUUUAUGGCGUUAGGGUUGAAAUCACUGUCCAAAACCUUUGUAGGAACUCUUUUCCAACCUUUUGGAGUUAGUUAGACCAACAAAAAUGAAAAAUGAAAAAAAAAUAUUUGGGGUGUUCGGGCUUCCUGAAGGUAAUACCCGGGUAUUAGGUUAUGGGGCUAUGGUAAGGUUUAAGGUUUUUGGCAUUAGGUUUAAAAUCACUGUCCAAAACCUUUGUAGGAACUCUUUUCCAACCUUUUGGAGUUAGUUAGACCAAAAAAAGAAUGAAAAAUGAAAAAAAAAUAUUUGGGGUUUCCGGGCUUCCUUAAUGUAAUACCCGGGUAUUAGAUUUUAAGGCCAGGGUAAGGUUUAAGUUUUUUGGCAUUAGGGUUAAAAUUACUGUCCAAAACCUUUGUAGGAACUCUUUUCCAACCUUUUGGAGUUAGUUAGACCAAAAAAAAAGAAAAAUGAAAAAAAAAUAUUUGGGGUGUUCAGGCUUCCUAAAAGUAAUACCCGGGUAUUAGGUUAUGGGGCUAUGGUAAGGUUUAAGGUUUUUGGCAUUAGGGUUAAAGUCACUGUCCAAAACCUUUGUAAGAACUCUUUUCCAACCUUUUGGAGUUGGUUACACCAACAAAAAUGUAAAAUGAAAAAAAAAAUAUAUGGGGUGUUCGGGCUUCCUAAAAGUAAUACCCGGGUAUUAGAUUUUAAGGCAAGGGUAAGGUUUAAGUUUUAUGGCGUUAGGGUUGAAAUCACUGUCCAAAACCUUUGUAGGAACUCUUUUCCAACCUUUUGGAGUUAGUUAGACCAAAAAAUAUGAAAAAGGAAAAAAAAAUAUUUGGGGUUUUCGGGCUUCCUGAAGGUAAUACCCGGGUAUUAGGUUUUGGGGCUAGGGUAUGGUUUAAGUUUUCUGGCGUUAGGGUUAAAGUCACUGUCCAAAACCUUUGUAAGAACGCUUUUCCAACCUUUUGGAGUUGGUUACACCAACAAAAAUGUAAAAUGAAAAAAAAUAUAUAUGGGGUGUUCGGGCUUCCUAAAAGUAAUACCGGGGUAUUAGAUUUUAAGGCAAGGGUAAGGUUUAAGUUUUAUGGCGUUAGGGUUGAAAUCACUGUCCAAAACCUUUGUAGGAACUCUUUUCCAACCUUUUGGAGUUAGUUAGACCAAAAAAUAUGAAAAAGGAAAAAAAAAUAUUUGGGGUUUUCGGGCUUCCUGAAGGUAAUACCCGGGUAUUAGGUUUUGGGGCUAGGGUAUGGUUUAAGUUUUCUGGCGUUAGGGUUAAAAUCACUGUCCAAAACCUUUGUAGGAACUCUUUUCAAACCUUUUGGAGUUGGUUACACCAACAAAAAUGAAAAAUGAAAAAAAAAUAUUUGGGGUGUUCAGGCUUCCUAAAAGUAAUACCCCGGUAUUAGGUUUUGGGGCUAUGGUAAGGUUUAAGGUUUUUGGCGUUAGGGUUAAAAUCACUGUCCAAAACCUUUGUAGGAACUCUUUUCCAACCUUUUGGAGUUAGCUAGACCAAAAAAAAAAAAAAAGAAAAUGAAAAAAAAAAUGUUUGGGGUGUGAAGGCUUCCUUAAGUUAAUACCCGGGUGUUAGGUUCGGGAAUAGGGUAAGGUUGAAGGUUUUUGGCGUUAGGGUUAAAAUCACUGUCCAAAAUCUUUUUAGGAACAUGUUUCAGACCUUUUGGAGUUGGUUACACCAAAAAAAAUGUAAAAUGAAAAAAGAAAUUUGGGGGGUUUUCGGGCUUCCUGAAGGUAAUACCCAGGUAUUAGGUUAUGGGGCUAUGGUAAGGUUUAAGGUUUUUGGCGUUAGGGUUAAAAUCACUGUCCAAAACCUUUUUAGGAACAUGUUUCAGACCUUUUGGAGUUAGUUAGACCAAAAAAAAAAAAGAAACAAAAAAAAAAAAAUUUUGGGUGUUCAGGACUCCUGAAGGUUAUACAGGUAUUAUAUUAGGUUAUGGGGCUUGGGUAAGGUUUAAGGUUUUUGGCGUUAGGGUUAAAAUCACUGUCCAAAACCUUUGUAGGAACUCUUUUCCAACCUUUUGGAGUUAGUUAGACCAAAAAAAAAAAGAAAAAUGAAAAAAAAAAUAUUUGGGGUUUUCGGGCUUCCUGAAGGUAAUACCCGGGUAUUAGGUUUUGUGGCUAAGGAAAGGUUAAAGGUUUUUGGCAUUAGGGUUAAAAUCACUGUCCAAAACCUUUGUAGGAACUCUUUUCCAACCUUUUGGAAUUAGCUAGACCAAAAAAAAAAAAAAGAAAAAUGAAAAAAAAAAUGUUUGGGGUGUGAAGGCUUCCUUAAGUUAAUACCCGGGUGUUAGGUUCGGGAAUAGGGUAAGGUUGAAGGUUUUUGGCGUUAGGGUUAAAAUCACUGUCCAAAAUCUUUUUAGGAACAUGUUUCAGACCUUUUGGAGUUGGUUACACCAAAAAAAAUGUAAAAUGAAAAAAAAAAUUUGGGGGGUUUUCGGGCUUCCUGAAGGUAAUACCCAGGUAUUAGGUUAUGGGGCUAUGGUAAGGUUUAAGGUUUUUGGCGUUAGGGUUAAAAUCACUGUCCAAAACCUUUUUAGGAACAUGUUUCAGACCUUUUGGAGUUAGUUAGACCAAAAAAAAAAAAGAAAAAAAAAAAGUAUUUUGGGUGUUCAGGACUCCUGAAGGUUAUACAGGUAUUAUAUUAGGUUAUGGGGCUUGGGUAAGGUUUAAGGUUUUUGGCGUUAGGGUUAAAAUCACUGUCCAAAACCUUUGUAGGAACUCUUUUCCAACCUUUUGGAGUUAGUUAGACCAAAAAAAAAAAGAAAAAUGAAAAAAAAAUAUUUGGGGUUUUCGGGCUUCCUGAAGGUAAUACCCGGGUAUUAGGUUUUGUGGCUAAGGAAAGGUUAAAGGUUUUUGGCAUUAGGGUUAAAAUCACUGUCCAAAACCUUUGUAGGAACUCUUUUCCAACCUUUUGGAGUUAGUUAGACCAAAAAAAAAAAAGAAAAAUGAAAAAAAAAUAUUUGGGGUUUUCGGGCUUCCUGAAGGUAAUACCCGGGUAUUAAGUUUUGGGGCAAGGGUAAGGUUUAAGGUUUUUGGCGUUAGGGUUAAAAUCACUGUCCAAAACCUUAGUAGGAACUCUUUUCCAACCUUUUGGAGUUGGUUACACCAACAAAAAUGUAAAAUGAAAAAAAAUAUUUGGGGUUUUCGGGCUUCCUGAAUGUAAUACCCGGGUAUUAGAUUUUAAGGCCAGGGAAAGGUUUAAGUUUUAUGGCGUUAGGGUUGAAAUCACUGUCCAAAACCUUUGUAGGAACUCAUUUCCAAUUUUUUGGAGCUAGUUAGACCAAAAAAAAAUGAAAAAUGAAAAAAAACAUAUUUGGGGUUUUUCAGGCUUCCUAAAAGUAAUACCCCGGUAUUAGGUUAUGGGGCUAUGGUAAGGUUUAAGGUUUUUGGCGUUAGUGUUAAAAUCACUUUCCAAAACCUUUGUAGGAACUCUUUUCCAACCUUUUGGAGUUAGCUAGACCAAAAAAAUAUGAAAAAGGAAAAAAAUAUAUUUGGGGUUUUCGGGCUUCCUGAAGGUAAUACCCGGGUAUCAAGUUUUGGGGCAAGGGUAAGGUUUAAGGUUUUUGGCGUUAGGGUUAAAAUCACUGUCCAAAACCUUAGUAGGAACUCUUUUCCAACCUUUUGGAGUUGGUUACACCAACAAAAAUGUAAAAUGAAAAAAAAUAUUUGGGGUUUUCGGGCUUCCUGAAUGUAAUACCCGGGUAUUAGAUUUUAAGGCCAGGGAAAGGUUUAAGUUUUAUGGCGUUAGGGUUGAAAUCACUGUCCAAAACCUUUGUAGGAACUCAUUUCCAAUUUUUUGGAGCUAGUUAGACCAAAAAAAAAAGAAAAAUGAAAAAAAAUAUUUGGGGUGUUCAGGCUUCCUAAAUGUAAUACCCGGGUAUUAGGUUAUGGGGCUAUGGUAAGGUUUAAGGUUUUUGGCAUUAGGGUUAAAGUCACUGUCCAAAACCUUUGUAAGAACUCUUUUCCAACCUUUUGGAGUUGGUUACACCAACAAAAAUGUAAAAUGAAAAAAAAAAUAUAUGGGGUGUUCGGGCUUCCUGUGGUAAUACCCGGGUAUUAGAUUUAAAGGCUAGGGUAAGGUUUAAGCUUAAUGGCGUUAGGGUUAAAAUCACUGUCCAAAACCUUUGUAGGAACUCUUUUCCAACCUUUUGGAGUUAGUUAGACCAAAAAAAAAUGAAAAAUGAAAAAAAAAUAUUUGGGGUGUUCAGGCUUCCUAAAAGUAAUACCCCGGUAUUAGGUUAUGGGGCUAUGGUAAGGUUUAAAGUUUUUGGCAUUAGGUUUAAAAUCACUGUCCAAAACCUUUGUAGGAACUCUUUCCCAACCUUUUGGAGUUAGUUAGACCAAAAAAAAAAGAAAAAUGAAAAAAAAAUGUUUGGGGUUUUCGGGCUUCUUUAAUGUAAUACCCGGGUAUUAGAUUUUAAGGCCAGGGUAAGGUUUAAGUUUUUUGGCAUUAGGGUUAAAAUUACUGUCCAAUACCUUUGUAGGAACUCUUUUCCAACCUUUUGGAGUUAGUUAGACCAAAAAAAAAAAGAAAAAUGAAAAAAAAAUAUUUGGGGUGUUCAGGCUUCCUAAAAGUAAUACCCGGGUAUUAGAUUUUAAGGCCAGGGAAAGGUUUAAGUUUUUUGGCGUUAGGGUUAAAAUCACUGUCCAAAACCUUUGUAGGAACUCUUUUUCAACCUUUUGGAGUUACUUAGACCAAAAAAAUAUGAAAAAGGAAAAAAAAAUAUUUGGGGUUUUCGGUCUUCCUGUGGUAAUACCCGGGUAUUAGAUUUAAAGGCUAUGGUAAGGUUUAAGCUUAAUGGCGUUAGGGUUAAAAUCACUGUCCAAAACCUUUGUAGGAACUCUUUUCCAAACUUUUGGAGUUACUUAGACCAAAAAAAAAAAUGAAAAAAGAAAAAAAAAUUAUUGGGGGUUUUCGGGCUCCCUGAAAGUAAUACCCGGGUAUUAGGUUUUGGGACUAGGGAAAAGUUUAAGGUUUUUGGCGUUAGGGUUAAAAUCACUGUCCAAAACCUUUGUAGGAACUCUUUUCUAACCUUUUGGAGUUAGUUAGACCAAAAAAAAAUGAAAAAUGAAAAAAAAAUAUUUGGGGUGUUCAGGCUUCCUAAAAGUAAUACCCCACAAUUAGGUUUUGGGGCUAUGGUAAGGUUUAAGGUUUUUGGCAUUAGGUUUGAAAUUACUGUCCAAAACCUUUGUAGGAACUCUUUUCCAACCUUUUGGAGUUACUUAGACCAAAAAAAAAAUGUAAAAUGAAAAAAAAAUGUUGGGGGUUUUCGGGCUUCCUGAAGGUAAUACCCGGGUAUUAGGUUAUGGGGCUAUGGUAUGGUUUAAGGUUUUUGGCAUUAGGUUUAGAAUCACUGUCCAAAACCUUUGUAGGAACUCUUUUCCAACCUUUUGGAGUUACUUAGACCAAAAAAAAAAGAAAAAUGAAAAAAAAAUAUUUGGGGUGUUCAGGCUUCCUAAAAGUAAUACCCGGGUAUUAGGUUAUGGGGCUAUGGUAAGGUUUAAAGUUUUUGGCAUUAGGGUAAAAAUCACUGUCCAAAACCUUUGUAGGAACUCUUUUCCAACCUUUUGGAGUUAGUUAGACCAAAAAAAAAUGUAAAAUGAAAAAAAAAAAUUUGGGGUGUUCGGGGUUCCUGAAGGUAAUACCCGGGUAUUAGAUUUUAAGGCUAAGGUAAGGUUUAAGUUUUUUGGAGUUAGGGUUAAAAUCACUGUCCAAAACCUUUGUAGGAACUCUUUUCCAAACUUUUGGAGUUACUUAGACCAAAAAAAAAUGUAAAAUGAAAAAAAUAUAUAUUUGGGGUGUUCGGGCUUCCUGAAAGUAAUACCCGGGUAUUAGGUUAUGGGGCUAAGGUAAGGUUUAACGUUUUGGCGUUAGGUUUAAAAUCACUGUCCAAAACCUUUGUAGGAACUCUUUUCCAACCUUUUGGAGUUAGUUAGACCAAAAAAAGAAUGAAAAAUGAAAAAAAAUAUAUUUGGGGUUUCCGGGCUUCCUUAAUGAAGUAGUAUUAGAUUUUAAGGCCAGGGUAAGGUUUAAGUUUUUUGGCAUUAGGGUUAAAAUCACUGUCCAAAACCUUUGUAGGAACUCUUUUCCAACCUUUUGGAGUUAGUUAGACCAAAAAAAAAUGAAAAAUGAAAAAAAAAAUAUUUGGGUUUUACGGGCUUCCUGAAUGUAAUACCCGGGUGUUAGAUUUUAAGGCUAGGGUAAGGUUUAAGUUUUUUGGCGUAAGGGUUGAAAUCACUGUCCAAAACCUUUGUAGGAACUCUUUUCCAAUUUUUUGAAGCUAGUUAGACCAAAAAAAAAAAAAGAAAAAUGAAAAAAAUAUUUCGGGUGGUCAGGCUUCCUCAAAGUAAUACCCGGGUAUUAGGUUUUGGGGCUAUGGUAAGGUUUAAGUUUUUUGGCAUUAGGGUUAAAAUCACUGUCCGAAACCUUUGUAGGAACUCUUUUCCAACCUUUUGGAGUUAGUUAGACCAAAAAAAAAUGAAAAAUGAAAAAAAAAAUAUUUGGGUUUUACGGGCUUCCUGAAUGUAAUACCCAGGUAUUAGAUUUUAAGGCUAGGGUAAGGUUUAAGUUUUUUGGCGUUAGGUUUAAAAUCACUGUCCAAAACCUUUGUAGGAACUCUUUUCCAACCUUUCUGAGUUGGUUACACCAACAAAAAUGUAAAAUGAAAAAAAAAUAUUUGGGGUGUUCGGGCUUCCUGAAGGUAAUACCCGGGAAUUAGGUUAUGGGGCUAUGGUAAGGUUUAAGGUUUUUGGCGUUAGGGUUAAAAUCACUGUCCAAAACCUUUGUAGGAACUCUUUCCCAACCUUUUGGAGUUAGUAAGACCAAAAAAAAAUGAAAAAUGAAAAAAAAAUAUUUUGGGUUCAUGGGCUUCCUGAAUGUAAUAUCCAGGUAUUAGGUUUUGGGGCUAGGGUAAGGUUUAAGGUUUUUGACAUUAGGGUUAAAAUCACUGUCCAAAACCUUUGUAAGAACUCUUUUCCAACCUUUUGGAGUUGGUUACACCAACAAAAAUGUAAAAUGAAAAAAAAAAUAUAUGGGGUGUUCGGGCUUCCUGUGGUAAUACCCGGGUAUUAGAUUUAAAGGCUAGGGUAAGGUUUAAGCUUAAUGGCGUUAGGGUUAAAAUCACUGUCCAAAACCUUUGUAGGAACUCUUUUCCAACCUUUUGGAGUUAGUUAGACCAAAAAAAAAUGAAAAAUGAAAAAAAAAUAUUUGGGGUGUUCAGGCUUCCUAAAAGUAAUACCCCGGUAUUAGGUUAUGGGGCUAUGUUAAGGUUUAAAGUUUUUGGCAUUAGGUUUAAAAUCACUGUCCAAAACCUUUGUAGGAACUCUUUCCCAACCUUUUGGAGUUAGUUAGACCAAAAAAAAAAUGAAAAAUGAAAAAAAAAUAUUUGGGGUUUCCGGGCUUCCUUAAUGUAGUAGUAUUAGAUUUUAAGGCCAGGGUAAGGUUUAAGUUUUUUGGCGUUAGGGUUAAAAUCACUGUCCAAAACCUUUGUAGGAACUCUUUUCCAACCUUUUGGAGUUAGUUAGACCAAAAAAAAAAUGAAAAAUGAAAAAAAAAUAUUUUGGGUUCACGGGCUUCCUGAAUGUAAUACCCAGGUAUUAGAUUUUAAGGCUAGGGUAAGUUUUAAGUUUUUUGGCGUUAGGGUUAAAAUCACUGUCCAAAACCUUUGUAGGAACUCUUUUCCAACCUUUCUGAGUUGGUUACACCAACAAAAAUGUAAAAUGAAAAAAAAAUAUUUGGGGUGUUCGGGCUUCCUGAAGGUAAUACCCGGGAAUUAGGUUAUGGGGCUAUGGUAAGGUUUAAGGUUUUUGGCGUUAGGUUUAAAAUCACUGUCCAAAACCUUUGUAGGAACUCUUUUCCAACCUUUUGGAGUUAGUUAGACCAAAAAAAAAUGAAAAAUGAAAAAAAAAUAUUUUGGGUUCAUGGGCUUCCUGAAUGUAAUAUCCAGGUAUUAGGUUUUGGGGCUAGGGUAAGGUUUAAGGUUUUUGACAUUAGGGUUAAAAUCACUGUCCAAAACCUUUGUAAGAACUCUUUUCCAACCUUUUGGAGUUGGUUACACCAACAAAAAUGUAAAAUGAAAAAAAAAAUAUAUGGGGUGUUCGGUCUUCCUGUGGUAAUACCCGGGUAUUAGAUUUAAAGGCUAGGGUAAGGUUUAAGCUUAAUGGCGUUAGGGUUAAAAUCACUGUCCAAAACCUUUGUAGGAACUCUUUUCCAACCUUUUGGAGUUAGUUAGACCAAAAAAAAAUGAAAAAUGAAAAAAAAAUAUUUGGGGUGUUCAGGCUUCCUAAAAGUAAUACCCCGGUAUUAGGUUAUGGGGCUAUGGUAAGGUUUAAAGUUUUUGGCAUUAGGUUUAAAAUCACUGUCCAAAACCUUUGUAGGAACUCUUUCCCAACCUUUUGGAGUUAGUUAGACCAAAAAAAAAAUGAAAAAUGAAAAAAAAAUGUUUGGGGUUUUCGGGCUUCCUUAAUGUAAUACCCGGGUAUUAGAUUUUAAGGCCAGGGUAAGGUUUAAGUUUUUUGGCGUUAGGGUUAAAAUCACUGUCCAAAACCUUUGUAGGAACUCUUUUCCAACCUUUUGGAGUUACUUAGACCAAAAAAAUAUGAAAAAGGAAAAAAAAAUAUUUGGGGUUUUCGGUCUUCCUGUGGUAAUACCCGGGUAUUAGAUUUAAAGGCUAUGGUAAGGUUUAAGCUUAAUGGCGUUAGGGUUAAAAUCACUGUCCAAAACCUUUGUAGGAACUCUUUUCCAAACUUUUGGAGUUACUUAGACCAAAAAAAAAAAUGAAAAAAGAAAAAAAAAUUAUUGGGGGUUUUCGGGCUCCCUGAAAGUAAUACCCGGGUAUUAGGUUUUGGGACUAGGGAAAAGUUUAAGGUUUUUGGCGUUAGGGUUAAAAUCACUGUCCAAAACCUUUGUAGGAACUCUUUUCUAACCUUUUGGAGUUAGUUAGACCAAAAAAAAAUGAAAAAUGAAAAAAAAAUAUUUGGGGUGUUCAGGCUUCCUAAAAGUAAUACCCCGGUAUUAGGUUAUGGGGCUAUGGUAUGGUUUAAGGUUUUUGGCAUUAGGUUUAAAAUCACUGUCCAAAACCUUUGUAGGAACUCUUUUCCAACCUUUUGGAGUUACUUAGACCAAAAAAAAAUGUAAAAUGAAAAAAAAAUGUUGGGGGUUUUCGGGCUUCCUGAAGGUAAUACCCGGGUAUUAGGUUAUGGGGCUAUGGUAUGGUUUAAGGUUUUUGGCAUUAGGUUUAAAAUCACUGUCCAAAACCUUUGUAGGAACUCUUUUCCAACCUUUUGGAGUUACUUAGACCAAAAAAAAAAGAAAAAUGAAAAAAAAAUAUUUGGGGUGUUCAGGCUUCCUAAAAGUAAUACCCGGGUAUUAGGUUAUGGGGCUAUGGUAAGGUUUAAAGUUUUUGGCAUUAGGGUUAAAAUCACUGUCCAAAACCUUUGUAGGAACUCUUUCCCAACCUUUUGGAGUUAGUUAGACCAAAAAAAAUGUAAAAUGAAAAAAAAAUGUUGGGGGUUUUCGGGCUUCCUGAAGGUAAUACCCGGGUAUUAGGUUAUGGGGCUAUGGUAAGGUUUAAAGUUUUUGGCAUUAGGGUUAAAAUCACUGUCCAAAACCUUUGUAGGAACUCUUUUCCAACCUUUUGGAGUUAGUUAGACCAAAAAAAAAUGAAAAAUGAAAAAAAAAUGUUUGGGGUUUUCGGGCUUCCUGAAUGUAAUACCCGGGUAUUAGAUUUUAAGGCUAGGGUAAGGUUUAAGUUUUAUGGCGUUAGGGUUAAAAUCACUGUCCAAAACCUUUGUAGGAACUCUUUUCCUACCUUUUGGAGUUAGUUAGACCAAAAAAAAAUGAAAAAUGAAAAAAAAAUAUUUGGGGUGUUCAGGCUUCCUAAAAGUAAUACCCCGGUAUUAGGUUUUGGGGCUAUGGUAAGGUUUAAGGUUUUUGGCGUUAGGGUUAAAAUCACUGUCCAAAACCUUUGUAGGAACUCUUUUCCAACCUUUUGGAGUUAGUUAGACAAAAAAAGAAUGAAAAAUGAAAAAAAAAUUUUGGCGUUUUCCGGGCUUCCUUAAUGUAAUACCCGGGUAUUAGAUUUUAAGGCCAGGGUAAGGUUUAAGUUUUUUGGCAUUAGGGUUAAAAUCCCUGUUCAAAACCUUUUUAGGAACUCUUUUCCAACCUUUUGGAGUUGGUUUCACCAACAAAAAUGUAAAAUGAAAAAAAAAUAUUUGGGGUUUUCCGGCUUCCUGAAUGUAAUACCCGGGUAUUAGAUUUUAAGGCCAGGGUAAGGUUUAAGUUUUUUGGCAUUAGGGUUAAAAUCCCUGUUCAAAACCUUUUUAGGAACUCUUUUCCAACCUUUUGGAGUUGGUUUCACCAACAAAAAUGUAAAAUGAAAAAAAGAAUAUUUGGGGUUUUCCGGCUUCCUAAAUGUAAUACCCGGGUAUUAGAUUUUAAGGCUAGGGUAAGGUUUAAGUUUUUUGGUGUUAGGGUUGAAAUCACUGUCCAAAACCUUUGUAGGAACUCUUUUCCAAUUUUUUGGAGCUAGUUAGACCAAAAAAAAAAGAAAAAUAAAAAAAAAUAUUUCGGGUGGUCAGGCUUCCUCAAAGUAAUACCCGGGUAUUAGGUUUUGGGGUUAGGGAAAGGUCUAAGGUUUUUGGCGUUAGGGUUAAAAUCACUGUCCAAAACCUUUGUAGGAACUCUUUUCCAACCUUUUGGAGUUGGUUACACUAACAAAAAUGUAAAAUGAAAAAAAAAUAUUUGGUGUGUUCGGGCUUCCUGAAGGUAAUACCCGGGUAUUAGAUUUUAAGGCUAGGGUAAGGUUUAAGUUUUUUGGAGUUAGGGUUAAAAUCACUGUCCAAAACCUUUGUAGGAACUCUUUUCCAACCUUUUGGAGUUGGUUACACCAACAAAAAUGUAAAAUAAAAAAAAUAUAUAUUUGGGGUGUUCGGGCUUCCUGAAAGUAAUACCCGGGUAUUAGGUUAUGGGGCUAAGGUAAGGUUUAACGUUUUGGCGUUAGGUUUAAAAUCACUGUCCAAAACCUUUGUAGGAACUCUUUUCCAACCUUUUGGAGUUAGUUAGACCAAAAAAAGAAUGAAAAAUGAAAAAAAAUAUAUUUGGGGUUUCCGGGCUUCCUUAAUUAAGUAGUAUUAGAUUUUAAGGCCAGGGUAAGGUUUAAGUUUUUUGGCAUUAGGGUUAAAAUCACUGUCCAAAACCU
This 14021-nucleotide long non-coding RNA is filed under the name Xyrichtys novacula (pearly razorfish). Lineage: Eukaryota; Metazoa; Chordata; Actinopteri; Labriformes; Labridae. The record is from RNAcentral.